CCUGGACCACAUUCUCCAGCAGCUUUUAUUCAUCCAAAGCUGCUUCCAAAAGGGCUCAGGGGCAUCAGUCGGUCAGCAGCAAUCAGUGGGUUAAUACAGCCUCACUUCUGCCUCCGUCAGAUGUUCAGGAGAAGAUAAUGAGGCAGGGACAGAGCCUGCAGGUUAAUGACAUACCCCAACUGGAAGACAGAAAUCUGAGAGGAGAGACUGGGAAGCAGAAGAGGAAAGGGAAAUGCAAGUGAACCACUGAAACAAAAUACAUUGGCAAAUAAGAAAGAAAUCACAAGGCAGACAAGAGCUGCCCUGAACAAUGGUGGAGAGGAGGUUGGCACAGCCAAGUUCUCUGCAGUCACCCUGCUGCUGCAUGUGGAUCAGAUUCAGACCAGGGCAGUGGGAUGCAACAAGCUGAAUUUCUUGACUGACCUUCAGCCUUCCCCCUCCGUGGCAAUAUACAGCUUUCUGUUCUGCUAAGUGAAAGUCAGAAACAGGGGCCAACUGAAAAGUAAUUCUUUUCACUCUUUUGCAGAAACAACAAAAAGGUUGCUUCUGAAGAUGAGAAAUUCUUUUGCUCAUCUCUACUGGAGACUGAAUUGUUUAUUGUAUUGACUGCCCAUCAUUGUGGGCUGGGUUUUAACAGAUAUGACAAUUUAUCUGUAUCAAGGAUGGGGGGGGUGCUGUUGUGAUACAUUAAAUACCUUUGCAAUCUUUUUUAUUUUUUUUCUUCUUAUCUUUCUUUCUCUCUUUCUUUUUUU
RNAcentral lists this long non-coding RNA (752 nucleotides) under Parus major (Great Tit). RNAcentral's name for it is "lncRNA (ENSPMJG00000018482.1)". The record is from RNAcentral. Lineage: Eukaryota; Metazoa; Chordata; Aves; Passeriformes; Paridae.